UGGGCCUACGGGAGGCAGCAGUGAGGAAUAUUGGUCAAUGGGCGCGAGCCUGAACCAGCCAAGUAGCGUGAAGGAUGACUGCCCUACGGGUUGUAAACUUCUUUUAUAUGGGAAUAAAGUGAGCCACGUGUGGCUUUUUGUAUGUACCAUACGAAUAAGGAUCGGCUAACUCCGUGCCAGCAGCCGCGGUAAUACGGAGGAUCCGAGCGUUAUCCGGAUUUAUUGGGUUUAAAGGGUGCGUAGGCGGUCUGUUAAGUCAGCGGUAAAAUUGCGGGGCUCAACCCCGUCGAGCCGUUGAAACUGGC
RNAcentral lists this ribosomal RNA (305 nucleotides) under uncultured bacterium. RNAcentral describes it as "bacterial SSU rRNA". It matches the Rfam family "Bacterial small subunit ribosomal RNA", at positions 334 to 637 of the family's 1533-position model. The record is from RNAcentral.